This is a long non-coding RNA of Arabidopsis lyrata subsp. lyrata, 599 nucleotides long. RefSeq lists it as uncharacterized. The transcript is spliced from 3 exons. The record is from RefSeq and is a predicted model, not a curated record. NCBI's taxonomy places the organism in Eukaryota, Viridiplantae, Streptophyta, Magnoliopsida, Brassicales, Brassicaceae.
AUCUUUCUGUGACGUUCGCGCCAUAACAUUUACAAACACUUUUAAAGGAACACCUAAUAAAAGGAUUGUUACAAAAUAAAUGUGUGAGCUUUUAGAUAUAAGUUUUGGGAUCGCUAUAUAGUAAUCAUGGAAAUUUGAAUUUUCUAUCAAUAAAUACUAUAUCACCGAAUCAAACAUAUUCUCAAAUAUGAGAACAAAGUCAAACUUCCCUAAUUCUAACUUUAAAACCCAAAAAAAAACAGAUGAAGAACUUAGACAAAUGAGACAUACUUCACUCAUCAAAUAUAUAAUCACAGUUCUUCCCGCAGGAAGAAUGGGGGUCUUUCUUUCAAAACUUUGAAAAUUCGUUGUUCUUUUCUUUCCGGCCUGAGUCAUCUGCACCUUUCAAAGACCCACAUUCUUUUUGCGGGAAGAACUCAUGAGUAGGCUCUUUCGAGCCCCAAACCAGAGACUCAGACAGAGAAAGUUCGAACAACAAGGAUUUGAUCACCAGGAGUCAACCAUGCCAUCUGUACCAGAUCCUGAUACGCUUCUAUCACUGGAGGAGUUGCGUGAACGCCGUAUAACUGAUCCUCAUUUACCAAGGAGUUAUCGGAACA